This 466-nucleotide ribosomal RNA is filed under the name uncultured bacterium. RNAcentral describes it as "partial 16S ribosomal RNA". It matches the Rfam family "Bacterial small subunit ribosomal RNA", at positions 28 to 506 of the family's 1533-position model. The record is from RNAcentral.
GACGAACGCUGGCGGCGUGCUUAACACAUGCAAGUCGAACGGAAAGGCUCCAGCUUGCUGGAGUACUCGAGUGGCGAACGGGUGAGUAACACGUGGGUAAUCUGCCCUGCACUCUGGGAUAAGCCUGGGAAACUGGGUCUAAUACUGGAUAUGACCUUGCUCCUUAUGGGGUUUGGUGGAAAGUUUUUCGGUGUAGGAUGAGCCCGCGGCCUAUCAGCUUGUUGGUGGGGUGAUGGCCUACCAAGGCGACGACGGGUAGCCGGCCUGAGAGGGUGAUCGGCCACAUUGGGACUGAGAUACGGCCCAGACUCCUACGGGAGGCAGCAGUGGGGAAUAUUGCACAAUGGGCGGAAGCCUGAUGCAGCGACGCCGCGUGAGGGAUGACGGCCUUCGGGUUGUAAACCUCUUUCAGCAGGGACGAAGCGUAAGUGACGGUACCUGCAGAAGAAGCACCGGCUAACUAUGU